ACAAAAUGUAGCUUAACAAGAGCACCUUGCUUACACCAAGGACGUGUCCGUGGAACUCGAACCAUUUUGA
Molecule: transfer RNA, 70 nt
Filed under: Scaphiophryne marmorata (marbled rain frog)
Lineage: Eukaryota; Metazoa; Chordata; Amphibia; Anura; Microhylidae
Description: tRNA-Val
Source: RNAcentral